Molecule: long non-coding RNA, 8000 nt
Organism: Bubalus bubalis (water buffalo)
Lineage: Eukaryota; Metazoa; Chordata; Mammalia; Artiodactyla; Bovidae
Exons: 2
Source: RefSeq, a predicted model, not a curated record
GUGGGCUGCCAUCUAUGGGGUCGCACGGACACGACUGAAGUGACUUAGCAACAGCAGUAGCAGCCAGGUGACGACGUGGACGAAGCUGGAACUGAUGACCAUGUGUGGAUGUGCUGUUUCUGUUGCUUGGUUCUUUCUCAUUUGUGCUGCCCUCUCUCCUCUCAACAUGUGAUCUAACUUGACCCUCAGAACUUCAGGAGGAGCAGGCUGAUUUGACAACACGUGCUGGGUUGAUGGGGAAAGUGUGAGUUGUCUCUUAGGGACAGAAAUGGCAGGAGGGAUGUCCGACUUCCUUCCAAAGGCACCCUGACGUGUUUGUUGAGGACAGCUCUUCCUUGUCAAAAGCUGACAUGUUGACUUAGAUUUUGGGUAUUCUUAAGGUGAUAGCAUGUCACGCGGACAGUGCACGGCCUGCUGGCUGUUCUGGAAGGUUCCACGCACAUCAGGGAAGGCGGAACAUGGUUUCUGGGUUAUCCUUUUGAGGCAAAGCGUUUAUCUCACACCUUUGAUCUAAGUAUUGUGGCUAUGGCUAUAUACUAUUUGAUUUAACUCAUUUAUAAAUAAUAGUGCUGUUUGUCAAAGAAUCGGGGGGGGGUGGGGGAGACUGUUAGUCUAUCACAAAGAAAAACCCAUCACCUAGGAAUUUUUCAUAUUUUGUUUUGUGAGAGUACAACCAAUCAGCAUUUUUACAGUGAGGGAGAAUUUUCUGUGAUUUUGAGAGACCCAAAGCAAACAUUUUUUUUUUUUUUUUAAAUAACUAAAUUCUUUGAAACCUACAAUACAUUUGGAUUACAUCUGCUAAUCAUUCUACUCUGUUGCACAGUAGAGACUUUGGAGUUAUACUAAGAGCAAAAAUUUUGCUUGUGCUUUUAAACUCUCCUAAGUAUAAGAAACUACAUCCUCGUUGAUACAAAGAGGGAUGACACAGUAAGUCCUCAUGAUCCAAUAUUACUGCUAACUCUGAGGCUUUUUCUCCCUUUUUUUUUUUUUUCAUUUAAGAUCAUAUAAAAUUUAGCUUACAAAAAGGAUCCCAUAUGUUGUUGUGUAACUCAAAGUAAACAUUUUUAAGUGUCAGAAAGCUUUAAAACCCAAACAAGCUGUAGUCUCAUUAGAGAGCACACUGGCUAGAAUUCACCAAUCAAAAUAUCCUAUAAAUAUUUAUUGUAAAUUUGUUGUAAACAGGAGAGCAAGGAAAGGUAUGUGUGUAAUUCAAUAAAUACCAAGCUCUGGGUUUCUGCCUUGUUUAAUUCCAAGAUGUUUGAAGUUACAUAAGCAUACCCUGACUCGUGUUAUCAGGAUUUAUGAAAUCUCCCUUGUAAAUUCGGUUUCUCUUCCUUGCAGCUCUGAUUAUGGGAAAGGAGCACAGUGGAGUUGUGGAUUAAGCACCGAUCCCUUCUCGACAAGGUGCUUAUUUCUCUGAACCUCAGUUUUUCUCCUCUAAAUUAGGGAUAUCUUGAUUCUCAUUUUACUACUUAUAAAUGCAUGAAGAUUAAUCAUUUACUGUGUAAAAUUAACUUUGGGAGUUAUAUUUGUCAUUUCCAACAAUUUAAAAAAAUUUUUUAAGGAAAAAAAGUAACUCUUGGCAAGCCAUUUAUUUACUGGAUUUAAUUUUAUCCAUUUUAAACCAUCUUAGACAUUUAAAACUAUUAUAGAAAGGUUAUAUGAAAAUGAUAGAACUCAUUGGACUGAAGAGUAAGUACUUUUUAAAAUAGUUAUGGAGGUUAAAGUAUUAAAAAUUAAUGCUCACAGGAAGAAAAACCCCUGAUGCUGAUUUUAUAUUAAAAUGUGUUACUUUGCUGACUCUUCAGAGUUAAGUAUAAGGGAUACGCCCUGAUACUGACCUUCCUAUCGAGGACCUGGUUAUGACAUGGUUUUUGGUCUAAGCUUCCAGGCUGCUAAUUACACGAUCAGGUUUUAGUUGUAUCUUUUAUGCUUCAUCCGUUCUGGUGAAUUUAAAAAAGACCUUGGAAAAACCAAUCAGAAUUGACUCAGAGGAAGGCACUUCAUUCAGAUUAUGAAUCAACACAUUCAUUUCGUGGAUGGAAUACAUUUUUCUUAAAAAAAAAAAAAAACUAUUUUGGCUGCACUGGGCGUGUGUUGCAGCAUGCAGGCUCUUUGUUCUGUGGCGCGUGGACUUUCUCUUGUGGCCACGGGCUCUAGAGCGCACAGGUUCAGUUGCUGCAGCGCGGCGCGCUCUCUGGUUACUGCACAGGCUUACUUGCAUGUGGAAUCGUAGUUCCCCGACCAGGGAUCAAACCCACAUCCCCUGUGCUGGUAGGUGGAUUCUUAACCACUGGACCACCAGGGAAGUCCCUGGAAUACCUUUUUGCAUUAGCUGUUUCUACUUCUAGGGGAUCAGAUGCUUCUGCUCAUUUUUAUUUUAAAUGACCUGUGGCUGGUCAGUGAAAAAAAUAAUUACGGACAGGGCUUCAGUGAUAAUAAAUGGCAGAAUAAAUCGACUCCAGUAAUAAUGACAUGCGCUUACAUUUUGCAGUAUUUUAUAAUUUGCGAAAGUUUCACCCAUUUUUACCACAUUUUAUGCAGAAUAUGUGUAUAGAUUAGUACAUUAUUAAAUUUUCAAAGAUCUAUACCUUUUCUUCCAAGAGUGGAAGCAAUGUCUUUUAAUUAUAAAUGAUAACAGUCCAAAUAACACUAAGUUUUUAGCUUCUAGUUUUAGCUCUUGUCUUUCAGAAAUAAUGCUUUAUUCUUUUUAUUCAUAUAACUAAAAUUCCUUCUCUAUUGCUGCACAUAGAACUUGAACAAAAAGUCACGUUCUAACGGAAUAUAGAGAUGCUAUUGCCAUUGAGGAUAACAAUAUGUGUAUCCCAUAUCCAGAAAUCAAGUACAUUUAUUCAAUUUGGGUGUUCUUCUUCUUUAGAAUUAUUGAAGUGAAGUGAUAAAUCAUUCAGUUGUGUCUGGCUCUUUGCGACCCCAUAGACUUUCCCAGGCAAGAAUACUGGAGUGGGUUGCUAUUUCCUACUCCAGGGGAAUUUUCCCUACCCAGGGAUCGAACCCAGGUCUUCUGCUUUGCAGGCAGAUUCUUUACCAUCUGAGCCACCAGGGAAGCCCUUUAGAAUUAUUAGUAGAGUAGAAUUCAUGUGAUAUAAUAAGCAUAAAAUUCUUCCACCCAUGCAUUGAUAGUUUGCCCAAAAUGACUAUACCUGAAAUGUUCAAAAUGCCUAACCUUUGGUGACAAGUUCAUUGAGUUUUAUUCUUUGUGACUGUGGAACAAACAUUCUUUUUAAGAAAGCAGUCAAAUUUGGUCUUACUAUUUUAAGAGUAAAGAAGUGUGGUGUCAGAUAUAAACUAGCCUAUUAAUCCUUGCUGAUAAAUGGCAAGUGGGUAAAAAGUGUUAACUGUAGCUCUUCAGAGCAACUUACUUAUAUUCAACAUUUCUGUAGGAAAGCAUGAUUUUAGUAGAAAUCAUUUACUUGAAACUCAGCUUAGAAAAACAGGCACUUCUUAAAUUUUCUGUUCUUAAUUAUCAGUCACAAGUUAUUUUGAUACUAUAAUAUUCACGGUGAUUAUAAAGAGUAGGCAUUUUGAAAAGAUGUCAGCAGGUAGAAAAACCGCUUUAAAAAUCAUCCUACUAUGUGAGAUUCACUUCCACCAUCAAUGGUUUGGUUUUGCUUCUCAGGGUCAUCCUUAGGGACAUUUACUAGGAUAGCAUUUUGUUUUGUUUUAGUACUUACGUGAAUCUUAAAAGGUUAGUGAUACGUCAGCAGUUGUCUCCUUCCCCUGGUCUUGGUUUGCACAUAGGACUCCCUUGGAAUUCUGCUCUUCCCAGUUGAUUUUUGUCCAAAGUGCUAAUUUGGAAGCUCACAGGCAAACUAAGGGGCGGAGGGGGAGGCAUGUAUCUUUCCUUUAAGUCAGACGAAAAUUCUCUGAAGAUGGGUUGAAAUCCACCCUCCCCCCUUAUAUAUAAUAUCCAGGGUGACUUUUCUGGGUACUGGAGCCAUGAGCACCUCGUUACCCUUCACUCACUCAAGCAUUUCACUUUCCUUCCAUCCUUGGAAUCCCAAGGCCCCCUGGCUGGAUCCCUGCAUGAGACCCGCUGGCCUUGGGCCCUUCUGAAGACCUGGCCUCACGCAUUCUGUGUCAGCGGCUAAGGAGCUGCUAAACCCCUGGCGUGCGUGCCAAGUUGCUUUAUCUUUGCAACCCUAUGGACUGUAGCCCACUAGGCUCCUCUGUCCAUGGGAUUCUCCAGGCAAGAAUACUGGAGUGGGUUGCCAUGCCCUCCUCCAGGGGAUCUUCCCAACCUAGGGAUCGAACCCGCAUCUCUUAGGUCUCCUGCAUUGACAGGCAGGUUCUUUACCACUAGCACCAAACCUCUGGCAGGCACUGCCAAUGAAGACCCUGGCAGAGGGAGGGGGACAUGCGGGCAUGAUAUAUGAAGCUGGAACAUGGAGUCACUUUCUGUUUAGGAAGCAUGGCCCCUGGCACUUUCCCCUUCGCUAGGCUCCAGCCUUGCUGGCUUUUUUUGUGCCAGGAACACACUGGGCGUUUCCCAGCCUCCACUGCUUUGCUCUGAUUUUUGCUUUUUUCUGCCCAGAACUCCUGCUGCUGAUCUGUCUCUUCAUUCAGGUGUCAUCUGAUGCUGCUUCCUCAAAGUGACCUUCCACCCCAGGAUGGGGCUUGCCUUUACCUUCCCCGCGGCACUUUUCCUGUCUGAUGGCACCUCCUUCAUCCAUUCAUUUACUUUUCUGCUCUGUGGACCUCGCUCUUCCCACUCCCUCACCUCCCCCCCGCCACAUGCACUGAACAAACCUCAGAGUGUGGACACCUUCUGUGUCUGCCCACGACUGCCACUCCUGUCUUAGGAGAGCUGUGCCCAGGUGGUAGGCAGACAUCAAAUAUCAAGUGAAUGACUGAGCCAGGCAGGCUUCCAGCCCUGCCUUAGCAGCGUUUAUCAGCCGGGGCUGCAGGGGCCAACCUAGAAGUUCUUCUUCCCAUAAGCCUGGAAUCUGUCCACCAGCGCAGGAGGUGCAAGAGAAGCGGGUUCGACGCCUGGGUCAGGAAGACCCCCUGGAGGAGGAAAUGCCAACCCUUCCAGUAUCCUUCUCUGGGAAACCCCAUGGACAGAGGAGCCUGGGGGGUUACAGCCCAGGGGUUGCACAGAGUUGAACACGGCCGAGCACACAGCACACACAGAAGCCUUACAGUGUAAGGCAGGGCUUCUGUGGGAAAGGUGCUUCUCUUUGCAAACAUUUGCCGGAGAGAGAAACUUUGGGAAGGCAGCUUUCCUCUCUUCUGUUCCGGGUUAGCUCUCCAUCUGCGACAACAGCUGAUCCAGUUUAUUCCUUGAGAGCAAAGAGAUUCUCCAGGCAAGAGUACUGGAGUGGGUUGCCGUCUCCUUCUGUGGACUGCCACCGCUGAAUUCCACCGAGACUUGCCAAGGGGCCAGAUGUGGCCGAGUUUGCCAGGUUUAGCUGAGCGAGUGGUGCAGUGAACUGAGGUAACACGUCCCUGGUAACACAUUUCUGUUCUGUUUGUGCCACCUUUUUUGGUAAUGGAAGCCGCGUAGUUCAGAGAAGAGGGGCAAGGGCUAGGGAGGCCGAAAACAAGUUUUCUUAUGUUGCUUUCAUCCUCUUUAAAAAGGGACAAAGUGUGGUUAGCGGAGAGAAGUAGAUCAUGUGGCAGAAAAGAAAUGCUCUUUCAUAAGAAAGAUGGCUCAGUCCCCAAGACUGGCUGGUAAAAGGAAGUUCUGCUACAUGAAAACAUUUUUUUUUACACAAAUCUACUUCUCUUUAAUCUUUUUGUUUUUUAUUGAUUAGCAUCUGUAAUUUGCCAUAACGAUCCAUGUUUCCCUUUACCUGAAAGAGUGGGAAAAACAAAGAAUGAAAAAAUAAUUAAUUGCCCAAUCUAUUUAAUAUUGAAAGGUGGGAGUGUCUCCUGGUCACAGAGGCAAAAAUAAAUAAAGCUUGUCAGAGCAACGAAGGCAAAUCAGUGACUAAUUCACUGUGAUCUGCAAUAGAAAUGCUGGACUUGCCCUGUCGCCCAUACAAACAAACCCUGGGAGCAUCCUGACUCCUUGAGUGAGGUGCCGGAGCCUAAGUCCGGCUGGAUCGUCCAUCCUGCCUCGCUCAGCCUCACGCAGAUGAACAAACAGCUAAUUGUUCUCGGAUCCACUGCUGCUUGAUCAAGGACACCAGACGAACAAGUCACACUGGUGACCUCAGGGCAGAAUUCUCCCAACCAGUCAAGCCCCGACACUGACCCAACAGCUGAGGGCCUUUCUCCUGAAACACUGAAAGCCGUCAGAAAGUUGCUGUGGAACCGCAAGGGCAGCUGCCAGCUCAGAGCCUGGCAGGGGCAUUCCCCCGGAGGCACCCGAAGUAGCAGACGCUGCCUUGUUGACAGCCCACCACCACGUUGGUUCCCAGCCCUCAGCACGCACCACAGAUCCAAUCUUCCAAGCAGUAAUGGCCCAAGGGGCACAGCUCUCACAGCCAGGACCCCUCCACCUCUUCUCUUUGACGCGAUUUCCCUCAGUGGGUCACUGUCCCUGGACUUGCUGGAACUUCAUAAGGCAGGGGAUUUGGGUGGAAGAUUGACCGUUCUAGUGAACCCUCUAGGCCCCAUGAGGGGUGACCUCCUAACCAACAUGUUUCUCCCCAUUCCUGUUUUUUCUACUUCAGCCACAAAGUGAAUCUUCUGCUUUCAGCCCAGCUCUUUCAGCUGUUGGAACGGGGCUGGUUAAGGUGUGAAGAUCAUCUCUUAGGAGAUGAUUCUUGCCAGUGACAGGCGAGGCUGAAGGAAGGUGCUAUUUCUAGCACGGAGCAGAGCCCCAGAACCUGUGACACCAGAUUGCAUUCAGUCAAAGUCCCUGUGCUUCUCAUCUCUGCCACCUCUGUCCCUCCUGUCUCAGAAACCAUCCAGGCAGGGGUUCCUCUCACAUACCCUCACUUGUAUUCCCAUCAAGGAGUUCCUUCUGCAAGAACCAUGUCCCCAGCACCCCUUCUCUGAACUUGUGGCUUGCCCCUGCGUCUCCUGAAAGCUCUGACUUCCUUCUGCAAGUCUGGCCGUACAUGAAAUGUACCUAUUAUGUAGAGAGGGUAUCUUCUUCCUUUGCAGUUUCUACACCCCAGAUGCUCCUGGACUUGGAGAUUGUCAGAGCAUCUUGCGACUCUCCGUCUCUUCUCCCAUCAUACUAAACUUUCCUCACCUGGAGUUUCAGGCGGUCCUGCCCCUUCCCUUCCUGGUCGUUUGGGUGGACUUUUCUGCCCUUGCUUGCUCUGAUCUGCCGCGUGAACCUUCAGCCUCGCAGUGGACUCUGUGCUUUCACUGGCUUGUCUUGCUUUUCCUUCAGGAGUAUUUUAGUGUUCUUGUUCACCCACUCAAAUCCUGUCUCACUCGGCUGUGUUAUCUUUUCCCCUAGUCCUUUCCCUGAAGACUCCUGCCAGUAGAGAUUUCUAUUUAAGUUUUGCUGUAGCCCCUCCUUGGCACAUGAUUACAUGCCGUGCUUGUGACAGCUGAGCAUUACUUUGUGUUAUAACUUAAAUCCGGUAAUGCUGUGUAACUUUCUGAUGUGUACCUGCCAUGUGCCCAUUUAGAUGGUCGAGCUCUCUUUGAGGAUGGAACCUUCUGGGAACUUUGCUUUGAUAUAAUUCUUAUCAAACUUAUAUUUAAACAUCUGAUAAAUGUUUGUGAAAUGAAUUCAUCAAUCAUGAAGAAUAUCUUAAGCUGUUAGGGAGCCUGGCUUUCUUUUAUUGCUGGUUUGACAGCUAUAGCCUUUUCUAAACAAAUUUCCUGGUGUGACCUCUUAGUUCUCAGCUUUCAUUUGCUGCAUGAUUUGAGAGACCUACAGUAAAGUCAUUUGUGAUUAUAAGAAAAAAAAAAGUUUUUAAUUAAGCAUUGUAGCACAAAGAAAAAGUCAUAGUGGAAUCAAAGUAGUGUCUAUAUUCACUAUCUGUAUAAAAAAAAAAAAGGAGAUACAGUGUCCUUAACAGAAAGCCUAAUGUUCCCUGUGUUGAUCACUGCAAAAUGUUUCUUUUGUCUUU